Ictalurus punctatus (channel catfish) is the source of this 1107-nucleotide long non-coding RNA. Lineage: Eukaryota; Metazoa; Chordata; Actinopteri; Siluriformes; Ictaluridae. The record is from Ensembl.
AAGCUCUCCUUCAAAAUUUGUAGACACCAUGGAUUUCUCAGCAGAAGUUGACACCGUGACUAUCAGUGGUGGUGGUGGUGGUGGUGGUGAUGAUUCAAGCGCUUCAGGUGAAAUGUAUAUAUUGCAUUCUAUUUUCCCCCAGUGCAAAAAGAUCUCUCACAUUUUCUGUGACUUUAUAGAUACAAGUGAUUUCGAAAAUGGUGGUAAUAUAGAAGAACAUGCGGAAUUAAACUCAGAAGCGGCUGUUCAAAUCAAUCACAAAUUACAGGAGCAACGUAGAAAGAAUUCUUCCAACUAAAAAAAGCUUUAUUGGAAAAUCAUUCAUUGGACAUCUUGAUAAUACAGUUGAAUAUGGUCCAGGUAGGGAAUUUGUCCCUUUACUGUACAACACACUGGAAACCUUGAAUAGAUGCAUCACAGUGAACAUAAAACUGAUAAGAAAAUUGUAUGUUAGAUAUGGCACAGAAAUGACCGAAAUGCAAUUCGGAUACAGAAGCUAAAAAAAUUAGAACCAAAAAUAUUCUGACAUCACCCCAUGAUUUCUAUUAUGAUGGAAACGAGAGUUCUUCAAAUGGUCUGUUACAUCAUGUUCCUUGUACAACUCUGAACCUAUAUUAAACUGAUGCGAUCAACCGGCUGAAUGAAAGUUUAAUUCCAUCACACCAGGUCGUUAGUCAGAGACCUGUCAGAGUCCCAAUUACAAUAUAUCAAAUCAGUGUCUGUUAGAGUUACAAAAUAACCUAAAUGAACAGUCAUUUAGUACAAUUAAACCCUGGUCUAAUCGAAGCAGUCAACCAAUUGAAUGAACAUUUAAGAUCAUCAGACCAGAGCAAUACUCAAAAUGAAAAUCCAAGCCAAAUUUCCAGGCAAAAUGCAUCAAACAAACUUGUGAUGCCAUGUGACAUAUUUUUCUAAUUAAAUCAAUGUUUGUUAGAAAAUAACCUAAAUGAACAAAGACAAUCUAUGCAGAUAAAUCCUUGUUUAAUAGAUGCAGUGAAUCAACUCAAUGAAAGCAUGGCUUUAUCUCCCGAUCACAAUAUAAUCUCAACUCCAGAAAUUGCUCAGGAACAUAGACUGUUAUCUGCUCAUGAUAUGUUAUACAAACUU